RNAcentral lists this ribosomal RNA (305 nucleotides) under uncultured bacterium. RNAcentral's name for it is "bacterial SSU rRNA". It matches the Rfam family "Bacterial small subunit ribosomal RNA", at positions 336 to 656 of the family's 1533-position model. The record is from RNAcentral.
CGCCUACGGGGGGCAGCAGUGGGGAAUAUUGGGCAAUGGGCGCAAGCCUGACCCAGCAACGCCGCGUGAAGGAAGAAGGCUUUCGGGUUGUAAACUUCUUUUAAGAGGGAAGAGUAGAAGACGGUACCUCUUGAAUAAGCCACGGCUAACUACGUGCCAGCAGCCGCGGUAAUACGUAGGGGGCAAGCGUUAUCCGGAUUUACUGGGUGUAAAGGGAGCGUAGACGGAAAGGCAAGUCAGAAGUGAAAACCCAAGGCUCAACCAUGGGACUGCUUUUGAAACUGUCAAACUAGAGUACGGGCGAG